This 431-nucleotide ribosomal RNA is filed under the name uncultured bacterium. RNAcentral describes it as "bacterial SSU rRNA". It matches the Rfam family "Bacterial small subunit ribosomal RNA", at positions 29 to 507 of the family's 1533-position model. The record is from RNAcentral.
AGCGAACGCUGGCGGCAGGCUUAACACAUGCAAGUCGAGCGCCGUAGCAAUACGGAGCGGCAGACGGGUGAGUAACGCGUGGGAACGUACCUUCUGGUUCGGAAUAACUCAGGGAAACUUGAGCUAAUACCGGAUAAGCCCUUCGGGGAAGAUUUAUCGCCGGAAGAUCGGCCCGCGUAAGAUUAGCUAGUUGGUGAGGUAAUGGCUCACCAAGGCUACGAUCUUUAGCUGGUCUGAGAGGAUGAUCAGCCACAUUGGGACUGAGACACGGCCCAAACUCCUACGGGAGGCAGCAGUGGGGAAUAUUGGACAAUGGGCGCAAGCCUGAUCCAGCCAUGCCGCGUGAGUGAUGAAGGCCUUAGGGUUGUAAAGCUCUUUUAGCAGGGACGAUAAUGACGGUACCUGCAGAAAAAGCCCCGGCCAACUUCGUG